CCUACGGGUGGCAGCAGUGGGGAAUAUUGGACAAUGGGGGGAACCCUGAUCCAGCCAUGCCGCGUGUGUGAAGAAGGCCCUCGGGUUGUAAAGCACUUUCAGUGAGGAAGAACGCCUGGUGGUUAAUACCCAUCAGGAAAGACAUCACUCACAGAAGAAGCACCGGCUAACUCCGUGCCACGCAGCCGCGGUAAUACGGAGGGUGCGAGCGUUAAUCGGAAUUACUGGGCGUAAAGCGCGCGUAGGUGGCUUGAUAAGCCGGUUGUGAAAGCCCCGGGCUCAACCUGGGAACGGCAUCCGGAACUGUCAAGCUAGAGUGCAGGAGAGGAAGGUAGAAUUCCCGGUGUAGCGGUGAAAUGCGUAGAGAUCGGGAGGAAUACCAGUGGCGAAGGCGGCCUUCUGGACUGACACUGACACUGAGGUGCGAAAGCGUGGGUAGCAAACAGGAUUAGAUACCCCGGUAGUC
Molecule: ribosomal RNA, 466 nt
Filed under: Vreelandella stevensii
Lineage: Bacteria; Pseudomonadati; Pseudomonadota; Gammaproteobacteria; Oceanospirillales; Halomonadaceae
Description: partial 16S ribosomal RNA
Rfam family: Bacterial small subunit ribosomal RNA
Source: RNAcentral